RNAcentral lists this ribosomal RNA (151 nucleotides) under uncultured bacterium. RNAcentral describes it as "partial 16S ribosomal RNA". It matches the Rfam family "Bacterial small subunit ribosomal RNA", at positions 1351 to 1500 of the family's 1533-position model. The record is from RNAcentral.
AGAAUGCCGCGGUGAAUACGUUCCCGGGUCUUGUACACACCGCCCGUCACACCACGGGAGUCGGAAAUGCCCGAAGUCUGUGACCCAACCAUUAAGGAGGGAGCAGCCGAAGGCAGGUCGGAUGACUGGGGUGAAGUCGUAACAAGGUACC